GCCCAGUGAUGAGACCAAGGCGAAUAUGAGCUUACUGACUGAGAGCUGGUUCCUCCUUGCUUUGACUGGCAGGUAAUCUUGGCAGUGCAGGGGAGGAUUCCUGCUCUGCUGUAAGGGCCUGCCUACAGUGACUUGGCUCACCCCAAAUUAUUUCCUCAAAGUUUUAGUGGAAUAAUUGCAGGGAUGAAGCUGACAGUGUGUGUGCGCGCGCGUGCGUGUGUUUGUGGGCGAGUUUAGGAGCAACGUGUGUGUAUCCAGCUCUCGUCACAGUUCAGUCAGCUAUGCGUUGUUUCUUUGGUAAUCUGAGGGCC
Molecule: small nucleolar RNA, 311 nt
Organism: Betta splendens (Siamese fighting fish)
Lineage: Eukaryota; Metazoa; Chordata; Actinopteri; Anabantiformes; Osphronemidae
Source: Ensembl